RNAcentral lists this ribosomal RNA (654 nucleotides) under Kitasatospora indigofera. Its description in RNAcentral is "bacterial SSU rRNA". It matches the Rfam family "Bacterial small subunit ribosomal RNA", at positions 391 to 1057 of the family's 1533-position model. Lineage: Bacteria; Bacillati; Actinomycetota; Actinomycetes; Kitasatosporales; Streptomycetaceae. The record is from RNAcentral.
GCGACGCCGCGUGAGGGAUGAAUGCCUUCGGGUUGUAAACCUCUUUCAGCAGGGAAGAAGCGCAAGUGACGGUACCUGCAGAAGAAGCACCGGCUAACUACGUGCCAGCAGCCGCGGUAAUACGUAGGGUGCGAGCGUUGUCCGGAAUUAUUGGGCGUAAAGAGCUCGUAGGCGGCUUGUCGCGUCGGAUGUGAAAGCCCGGGGCUUAACCCCGGGUCUGCAUUCGAUACGGGCAGGCUAGAGUGUGGUAGGGGAGAUCGGAAUUCCUGGUGUAGCGGUGAAAUGCGCAGAUAUCAGGAGGAACACCGGUGGCGAAGGCGGAUCUCUGGGCCAUUACUGACGCUGAGGAGCGAAAGCGUGGGGAGCGAACAGGAUUAGAUACCCUGGUAGUCCACGCCGUAAACGUUGGGAACUAGGUGUUGGCGACAUUCCACGUCGUCGGUGCCGCAGCUAACGCAUUAAGUUCCCCGCCUGGGGAGUACGGCCGCAAGGCUAAAACUCAAAGGAAUUGACGGGGGCCCGCACAAGCAGCGGAGCAUGUGGCUUAAUUCGACGCAACGCGAAGAACCUUACCAAGGCUUGACAUAUACCGGAAACGGCCAGAGAUGGUCGCCCCCUUGUGGUCGGUAUACAGGUGGUGCAUGGCUGUCGUCA